This 1099-nucleotide long non-coding RNA is filed under the name Numida meleagris (helmeted guineafowl). RNAcentral's name for it is "lncRNA (ENSNMEG00000023233.1)". Lineage: Eukaryota; Metazoa; Chordata; Aves; Galliformes; Numididae. The record is from RNAcentral.
AUGUCAGGCUGGAAUGAAAUCCUCAGCUCAAAUCCAGGUCCAGCAUCUCCCAGGUGCAGAAUUGUCCUGAUGUCCCCGGGUUGUCGAGCAAAUUGCUUAUUGUGUUGCUCACUUACACAAUGCAUGUUAUUAUGUGCAACCAGCUGCUCCUGUUUGGCAUUGCUUGCACAUACAGAGCAGGAGGCUACCGUCGCUUCUCUCGUCUGGAAGUCACCGCUCCCUCUCAUGCUGGAGUUGCUGCCAGACCAAAAGUCUGGCAAAGAAGCAAUCCUGGUAGGAAAGGUCCCUGAGAGACUCCUGCUCUGGUAUGAGUGAGGUUGCAGCUUUGCAAUGAGUUCGAGCUGAUCUGGCUUUGUGCUGCUGUUGAAAGCUUCCUCGUGCCUCUGCCUGCUUGUUCCCAUUGCUUUCCUUGUGCUGGCACUAGCUCUUGGGUGACUGCACGGGCAGCUGGAGCAGAGGGUUGAUUUUGCUGUUGUUGCAGUUGCCAGUCGAGUUUUCAGCUCCGUCCCUUCCCCUGUCCACCUCCAGGCUCAUUCAAGCACUAAUGCCGGCACAAAAGACAAAGCAGACACCUCUUCCAGUAAUGAGAGCAGCUUAGAUCCAUCACAGAGCCUCAUGUUGGAGACCUGUCUGCAGCCAAAGGCAGGUGGUGACCAGAGCAGGGGCAUGUAAGAACAGGAGACUCAGUCCUGCUUGGGAGAGCAGCAACUUGAGCAUUUCCCAGCAUCUCCAACAUUGACCCCUGUGUGACAGCUGUGGGCAGAAGCAUUUAUCUGUGGAACUGGAGGGCACUAGGCCCCUGGUGGGGGGAAUGGUUUCACAUCUACAGAGGCUUCAGUGUGCUCUGAGCUCAGGGCGUUAGGGUUUGGCAGCACAGGGGUUUGGGACGGAGCUGCUCCUGAUCAGGGCUCUGCAGGGCACACACAGUCUGGAAAGCAAGCGCAUAUUCCAAAUGGAAGUUGACCUCUUUAGUGUGCGGGGGUUAAACUAAGAGAACAUGAAGUGACCUCAGCCCAGAAUAAGAACAUGCACGCGGGGAUUUUUAAAAUAGUUAGCCUGCUUCAAGUCUCUAUCUUCCUGAAUUUGCAAGUAACUUCCA